RNAcentral lists this ribosomal RNA (470 nucleotides) under uncultured bacterium. RNAcentral's name for it is "bacterial SSU rRNA". It matches the Rfam family "Bacterial small subunit ribosomal RNA", at positions 328 to 793 of the family's 1533-position model. The record is from RNAcentral.
UGACAGUACUCCUACGGGGAGGCAGCAGUAAGGAAUAUUGGUCAAUGGAGGGAACUCUGAACCAGCCAUGCCGCGUGCAGGAAGACAGCCCUCUGGGUCGUAAACUGCUUUUAUUCGGGGAAUAAACCUUUCUACGUGUAGGAAGCUGAAUGUACCGAAGGAAUAAGGAUCGGCUAACUCCGUGCCAGCAGCCGCGGUAAUACGGAGGAUCCAAGCGUUAUCCGGAUUUAUUGGGUUUAAAGGGUGCGUAGGCGGCUUAUUAAGUCAGGGGUGAAAGACGGUGGCUCAACCAUCGCAGUGCCCUUGAUACUGAUGAGCUUGAAUACACUAGAGGUAGGCGGAAUGUGACAAGUAGCGGUGAAAUGCAUAGAUAUGUCACAGAACACCGAUUGCGAAGGCAGCUUACUAUGGUGUUAUUGACGCUGAGGCACGAAAGCGUGGGGAUCAAACAGGAUUAGAUACCCUGGUAG